RNAcentral lists this ribosomal RNA (189 nucleotides) under uncultured soil bacterium. Its description in RNAcentral is "partial 16S ribosomal RNA". It matches the Rfam family "Bacterial small subunit ribosomal RNA", at positions 26 to 220 of the family's 1533-position model. The record is from RNAcentral.
AGGAUGAACGCUGGCGGCGUGCUUAACACAUGCAAGUCGAACGGAAGUAGUAAUACUUCAGUGGCGCACGGGUGAGGAACACGUAGCUCAUCUGCCCUCAAGUGUGGGAUAACGCUCCGAAAGGAGUGCUAAUACCGCAUAAGCUCCCGGAUUGCAGAGGUCGUGGGAAGAAAAGGAGACAAUUCGCUU